UGCCAGACUCCUACGGGAGGCAGCAGUGGGGAAUAUUGCGCAAUGGGGGCAACCCUGACGCAGCAACGCCGCGUGAUUGAAGAAGGCCUUCGGGUUGUAAAGAUCUUUAAUCAGGGACGAAAAAUGACGGUACCUGAAGAAUAAGCUCCGGCUAACUACGUGCCAGCAGCCGCGGUAAUACGUAGGGAGCAAGCGUUAUCCGGAUUUACUGGGUUUAAAGGGUGCGCAGGCGGAAUGUCAAGUCAGCGGUAAAAUUUCGGGGCUCAACCCCGUCGUGCCGUUGAAACUGGCGUUCUUGAGUGAGCGAGAAGUAUGCGGAAUGCGUGGUGUAGCGGUGAAAUGCAUAGAUAUCACGCAGAACUCCGAUUGCGAAGGCAGCAUACCGGCGCUCAACUGACGCUGAAGCACGAAGGCGUGGGUAUCGAACAGGAUUAGAUACCCCAGUAGU
RNAcentral lists this ribosomal RNA (448 nucleotides) under uncultured bacterium. RNAcentral describes it as "bacterial SSU rRNA". It matches the Rfam family "Bacterial small subunit ribosomal RNA", at positions 329 to 794 of the family's 1533-position model. The record is from RNAcentral.